RNAcentral lists this unclassified non-coding RNA (259 nucleotides) under Hevea brasiliensis (rubber tree). Lineage: Eukaryota; Viridiplantae; Streptophyta; Magnoliopsida; Malpighiales; Euphorbiaceae. The record is from RNAcentral.
GAAACCCAUCAGAUUGGGUGACCCUUCUAAGCUGAAACCUCUUUAAGAUGGCAUUUUCCUUUCAUAUUUAUUUCAAUUCUUUGCUUUGUCCUGCAAGUUUGUUGGAUAAGAAUGCCUGGGCAUUUGUGUAGCACUUUGGCUUUACAUCAAUGGGAAUUUCAAGGAGAUUUUGUGGAAAAGCUGAGUCCUAUACUGUUCUAGAGACAUAGCCUUAUUUGAUAAUCACAACCAAGUCAAAAUAUCAAAACAUUCCAUUAAG